RNAcentral lists this non-coding RNA (28 nucleotides) under Homo sapiens (human). Lineage: Eukaryota; Metazoa; Chordata; Mammalia; Primates; Hominidae. The record is from RNAcentral.
UGCCCAGUUGGUCAAGGUCCUAGCUACU